CCUACGGGUGGCAGCAGUGGGGAAUAUUGCUCAUUGGGCGAAAGCCUGACGCAGCGACGCCGCGUGAGGGAUGACUGUCUUCUGAUCGUAAACCUCUGUCAGCAGGGAAGAACGGUCACUUUGCUAAUCAGCCGUGAAUUGACGGUACCUGCACAGGAUGCACCGGCUCACUCCGUGCCAGCAGCCUCGUUAAUACGGAGGGUGCGCGCGUUAAUCUGAAUUACUGGGCGGAAAGCGGUCGUAGGCGGGAUGGCCAAUCAAGGGUGAAAUCCCCGCGCUCAACGUGGGAACUGCCUUUGAAACUGGCAAACUGGAGUGUGUGAGAGGAUAGUGGAAUGCGAGGGGUAGGAGUGAAA
Molecule: ribosomal RNA, 356 nt
Filed under: uncultured bacterium
Lineage: Bacteria
Description: partial 16S ribosomal RNA
Rfam family: Bacterial small subunit ribosomal RNA
Source: RNAcentral